AGGGCUGUGGCUCAGUGGUAAAGCACUUGCUUAGCAUGUAUGAGACACUGGGUUCAAUCCUCAGCACCACUC
This 72-nucleotide transfer RNA is filed under the name Ictidomys tridecemlineatus (thirteen-lined ground squirrel). RNAcentral's name for it is "Spermophilus tridecemlineatus (thirteen-lined ground squirrel) tRNA". It matches the Rfam family "tRNA". Rfam says of the family: Transfer RNA (tRNA) molecules are approximately 80 nucleotides in length. Their secondary structure includes four short double-helical elements and three loops (D, anti-codon, and T loops). Lineage: Eukaryota; Metazoa; Chordata; Mammalia; Rodentia; Sciuridae. The record is from Rfam by way of RNAcentral.